GAGUUUGAUCGUGGCUCAGGAUGAACGCUGGCGGCGUGCCUAAUACAUGCAAGUCGAGCGAACGGACGAGAAGCUUGCUUCUCUGAUGUUAGCGGCGGACGGGUGAGUAACACGUGGAUAACCUACCUAUAAGACUGGGAUAACUUCGGGAAACCGGAGCUAAUACCGGAUAAUAUUUUGAACCGCAUGGUUCAAAAGUAAAGACGGUCUUGCUGUCACUUAUAGAUGGAUCCGCGCUGCAUUAGCUAGUUGGUAAGGUAACGGCUUACCAAGGCAACGAUGCAUAGCCGACCUGAGAGGGUGAUCGGCCACACUGGAACUGAGACACGGUCCAGACUCCUACGGGAGGCAGCAGUAGGGAAUCUUCCGCAAUGGGCGAAAGCCUGACGGAGCAACGCCGCGUGAGUGAUGAAGGUCUUCGGAUCGUAAAACUCUGUUAUUAGGGAAGAACAUAUGUGUAAGUAACUGUGCACAUCUUGACGGUACCUAAUCAGAAAGCCACGGCUAACUACGUG
RNAcentral lists this ribosomal RNA (515 nucleotides) under uncultured microorganism. RNAcentral's name for it is "bacterial SSU rRNA". It matches the Rfam family "Bacterial small subunit ribosomal RNA", at positions 9 to 507 of the family's 1533-position model. The record is from RNAcentral.